Ornithorhynchus anatinus (platypus) is the source of this 410-nucleotide long non-coding RNA. RefSeq lists it as uncharacterized. The transcript is spliced from 3 exons. The record is from RefSeq and is a predicted model, not a curated record. Lineage: Eukaryota; Metazoa; Chordata; Mammalia; Monotremata; Ornithorhynchidae.
UACAUUGUACUCUCCCAAACGCUCAGUGGUCUGCACACUAGCGAUCCACAGCUGCGACACCCCUGCUCCCCGUGGACCACCCCCGAAAAUAGAGACGAAACGGAGGUCGCCGCUGCUGAAGGGUUCUUUGAGGCAUUAAGUGGAUUUAUGUUCCCGAGCAGUGGAAACGGCGGCAGCGGCGAGGGAGAGGCGGCCGGAACUGAACCUCAGAGGGCGGUUGAGCGGAGUGGUCGGAAGGUCCAAUGGCUAGUGUCAGAGUCUCUGGCUGGGCUGGGCCGCUGUCCAGAGCCCAGCUCCUCUUGAGAACGCCACAGGGAGGUGGAAUUAACCGACGUAACUGUGGCCAACCUGAUUUGCUUGUAUCCCCCCCCAUCACUCAAUACAGUGCCUGGCACAUAGUAAGUGCUUAA